GAUGAACGCUGGCGGCGUGCCUAAUACAUGCAAGUCGAGCGAACAGACCAUGAGCUUGCUCCUCUGACGUUAGCGGCGGACGUGUGAGUCACACGUGUAUCACCUACCUAUCAUACUGGUAUAACUUCGGGAAACCGGAUCUAAUACCGGAUAAUAUAUUGCACCACAUUGUUCAAUAGUUAGAUUCGGUUUUUCUGUCACUUCUAGCUGGUUCCCCGCCGCAUUAGCUAGUUGUUAAGGUAACAGCUUUUCACGGCUACGAUGCGUAGCCGACCUGAGAGAGUGGUCGGCCACACGGGAAGUGAGACACGGUCCAGACUCCUAAGGGAGGGAGCAGUAGGGAAUCUGACGCAAUGGGGGAGAGCAUGACGGAGCAACGCCGCGUGAGUGAUGAAGGUCUUCGGAUCGUAAAAAUGUGUUAUGAGGGAAGAACAAAUGUGUAAGUAACUGUGCAGGUAGUGACGGUACCGAGUAAGAAAGCAACGGCUAACUACGUG
This 497-nucleotide ribosomal RNA is filed under the name uncultured bacterium. Its description in RNAcentral is "partial 16S ribosomal RNA". It matches the Rfam family "Bacterial small subunit ribosomal RNA", at positions 28 to 507 of the family's 1533-position model. The record is from RNAcentral.